CCAAGGAGUCUAACAUGUGUGCGAGUCGUAGGGUUCCCACGAAACCCGAAGGCGAAGUGAAAGUAUAGGCCGGUUCAUCCGGCCGAGGCGGGAUCUGCCCUCUUUCUCUCCUCUUGCGGGGGAGCGAGGGGCAGCGCACCGCCGGCCCGUCUCGACCGCUGCGUCGGUGAGGCGGAGCAAGAGCAUACACGUUGGGACCCGAAAGAUGGUGAACUAUUCCUAGGCAGGACGAAGCCAGAGGAAACUCUGGUGGAGGUCCGUAGCGUUUCUGACGUGCAAAUCGAUCGUCAGACCUGGGUAUAGGGGCGAAAGACUAAUCGAACCAUCUA
RNAcentral lists this ribosomal RNA (329 nucleotides) under Thereuonema turkestana. Its description in RNAcentral is "eukaryotic LSU rRNA". It matches the Rfam family "Eukaryotic large subunit ribosomal RNA", at positions 666 to 946 of the family's 3401-position model. The record is from RNAcentral. Lineage: Eukaryota; Metazoa; Arthropoda; Chilopoda; Scutigeromorpha; Scutigeridae.